This 440-nucleotide ribosomal RNA is filed under the name uncultured bacterium. Its description in RNAcentral is "bacterial SSU rRNA". It matches the Rfam family "Bacterial small subunit ribosomal RNA", at positions 338 to 785 of the family's 1533-position model. The record is from RNAcentral.
CCUACGGGUGGCAGCAGCAAGGAAUCUUCCGCAAUGGGCGCAAGCCUGACGGAGCAACGCCGCGUGGGGGACGACACCCUUCGGGGCGUAAACCCCUUUUCUUGGGGAAGAAGGGCCUCGGCCUUGACGGUACCCGAGGAAGAAGGACCGGCUAACUACGUGCCAGCAGCCGCGGUAAUACGUAGGGUCCGAGCGUUGUCCGGAGUUACUGGGCGUAAAGGGCGCGCAGGCGGCGGCGUGGGUCCGGCGUGAAAGCCCCCGGCUCAACCGGGGAGGGUCGUCGGGGACCGCGCCGCUUGAGGGCGGCAGGGGCCGGUGGAAUGCCUGGUGUAGUGGUGAAAUGCGUAGAGAUCAGGCGGAACACCCGUGGCGAAGGCGGCCGGCUGGGCCGUCCCUGACGCUGAGGCGCGAAGGCGUGGGGAGCGAACGGGAUUAGAUAC